Long non-coding RNA from Brassica napus (rape), 440 nucleotides. RefSeq lists it as uncharacterized. The transcript is spliced from 3 exons. NCBI's taxonomy places the organism in Eukaryota, Viridiplantae, Streptophyta, Magnoliopsida, Brassicales, Brassicaceae. The record is from RefSeq and is a predicted model, not a curated record.
CUCUAAAAGAUGUUGUUUCCGUGAAGGUGUUGCUCUUUGUUUCCUACAGAGAUUUGUUGAGGCAGCCAAUGCCUUUUUACGAAGGAGUAAAGCAAAGAGAUCAGUGAUGAGUUCAGAGAAGUUGUAGAUGCUCAAAAGGAAGUUUCCCGGCAAGGAAAAGAUUAAGGCCAAACCAUAAGAUCUUCUAGAGAAGACUCUUUUUAGUAUAUGUAUGAAGUUUUGAUAUUGCUUCUUACCUUAGUCUCUCCCAUGACAUUGUUGCCUAUCUUUACUUACACGUACUAAAAACUUCAGGCAUAAAGUUUUGUUUGUGCUCUGAUUUUGUCAUUGUGUUUGGAUUUACAAUUUUGAUUUUUAAAAAUUGUAAACAAUGAUUUUAUUUGUUAUACUUAACAUUUUUUUUUGCCACCAAAAAUCUAAUCUACUAAAUCGCUUUUAUC